AGCUACAGGCUUAACACAUGCAAGUCGAGGGGCAUCAGGAAGAAAGCUUGCUUUCUUUGCUGGCGACCGGCGCACGGGUGAGUAACACGUAUCCAACCUGCCCUUUACUCGGGGAUAGCCUUUCGAAAGAAAGAUUAAUACCCGAUAGUAUAAUGAUUCCGCAUGGUUUCAUUAUUAAAGGAUUCCGGUAAAGGAUGGGGAUGCGUUCCAUUAGGUUGUUGGUGAGGUAACGGCUCACCAAGCCUUCGAUGGAUAGGGGUUCUGAGAGGAAGGUCCCCCACAUUGGAACUGAGACACGGUCCAAACUCCUACGGGAGGCAGCAGUGAGGAAUAUUGGUCAAUGGGCGCUAGCCUGAACCAGCCAAGUAGCGUGAAGGAUGAAGGCUCUAUGGGUCGUAAACUUCUUUUAUAUAAGAAUAAAGUGCAGUAUGUAUACUGUUUUGUAUGUAUUAUAUGAAUAAGGAUCGGCUAACUCCGUGCCAGCAGCCGCGGUAAUACGGAGGAUCCGAGCGUUAUCCGGAUUUAUUGGGUUUAAAGGGAGCGUAGGUGGACUGGUAAGUCAGUUGUGAAAGUUUGCGGCUCAACCGUAAAAUUGCAGUUGAUACUGUCAGUCUUGAGUACAGUAGAGGUGGGCGGAAUUCGUGGUGUAGCGGUGAAAUGCUUAGAUAUCACGAAGAACUCCGAUUGCGAAGGCAGCUCACUGGACUGCAACUGACACUGAUGCUCGAAAGUGUGGGUAUCAAACAGGAUUAGAUACCCUGGUAGUCCACACAGUAAACGAUGAAUACUCGCUGUUUGCGAUAUACAGUAAGCGGCCAAGCGAAAGCAUUAAGUAUUCCACCUGGGGAGUACGCCGGCAACGGUGAAACUCAAAGGAAUUGACGGGGGCCCGCACAAGCGGAGGAACAUGUGGUUUAAUUCGAUGAUACGCGAGGAACCUUACCCGGGCUUAAAUUGCAGUGGAAUGAUGUGGAAACAUGUCAGUGAGCAAUCACCGCUGUGAAGGUGCUGCAUGGUUGUCGUCAGCUCGUGCCGUGAGGUGUCGGCUUAAGUGCCAUAACGAGCGCAACCCUUAUCUUUAGUUACUAACAGGUUAUGCUGAGGACUCUAGAGAGACUGCCGUCGUAAGAUGUGAGGAAGGUGGGGAUGACGUCAAAUCAGCACGGCCCUUACGUCCGGGGCUACACACGUGUUACAAUGGGGGAUACAGAAGGCAGCUAGCGGGUGACCGUAUGCUAAUCCCAAAAGCCUCUCUCAGUUCGGAUCGAAGUCUGCAACCCGACUUCGUGAAGCUGGAUUCGCUAGUAAUCGCGCAUCAGCCACGGCGCGGUGAAUACGUUCCCGGGCCUUGUACACACCGCCCGUCAAGCCAUGGGAGCCGGGGGUACCUGAAGUACGUAACCGCAAGGAUCGUCCUAGGGUAAAACUGGUGACUGGGGCUAAGUCAUA
Molecule: ribosomal RNA, 1449 nt
Filed under: uncultured organism
Description: SSU rRNA
Rfam family: Bacterial small subunit ribosomal RNA
Source: RNAcentral